This is a non-coding RNA of Chelonoidis abingdonii (Abingdon island giant tortoise), 502 nucleotides long. The record is from RefSeq and is a predicted model, not a curated record. NCBI's taxonomy places the organism in Eukaryota, Metazoa, Chordata, Testudines, Testudinidae.
ACUGAGUGUUGGACUUUCGCUCUUUUAGGGGCCGGUGACCUUUGAGGAGGUGGCUGUGUAUUUCACCAGGGAAGAGUGGGCUCUGCUGGACCCCACUCAGAGAGCUCUCUACAGGGAUGUCAUACAGCAGAACUAUGAGAAUGUGACCUCGCUGGCAGGGUUUCCAGUUUCCAAACCUCAUAGAAUCUCCCAGCUGGAACAAGGAGAAGAGUCAUGGGUCCUAGACCUCCAGGGUUCAGAGGAAAGAUGGAUCCUGAAAGCUCCCUGCACAGCAGGUGAUGCAAUGGUAGGUGAGAAAGAGGAGCAGAAUUCUCAGCAGGAAAAUGUCGAGCAAGUGGAUAAACACAGAGAAUUAUUGCAAAGAUCAAAAAGAAAUGUGUCAAAGAGUCAUGAGCAGAGAAAAUCAUGCAAGACUCAGCACAGACCAGAAAGAGAGCAGGGAAAGCAGCCAGGAGAGAAAAUGGGUAAAUUUAUUUUCUGUCGGGGAACUCAGAAGAGCGUC